This 238-nucleotide ribosomal RNA is filed under the name Enterococcus faecalis. RNAcentral's name for it is "partial 23S ribosomal RNA". It matches the Rfam family "Bacterial large subunit ribosomal RNA", at positions 390 to 630 of the family's 2925-position model. Lineage: Bacteria; Bacillati; Bacillota; Bacilli; Lactobacillales; Enterococcaceae. The record is from RNAcentral.
ACAACACCUAGGAGGAUCCUGAGUACGGCGGAACACGAGAAAUUCCGUCGGAAUCCGCGGGGACCAUCCCGCAAGGCUAAAUACUCCCUAGUGACCGAUAGUGAACCAGUACCGUGAGGGAAAGGUGAAAAGCACCCCGGAAGGGGAGUGAAAUAGAUCCUGAAACCGUGUGCCUACAACAAGUCAAAGCUCGUUAAUGAGUGAUGGCGUGCCUUUUGUAGAAUGAACCGGCGAGUUA